This is a long non-coding RNA of Glycine soja, 750 nucleotides long. RefSeq lists it as uncharacterized. The transcript has 2 exons. The record is from RefSeq and is a predicted model, not a curated record. NCBI's taxonomy places the organism in Eukaryota, Viridiplantae, Streptophyta, Magnoliopsida, Fabales, Fabaceae.
CAAUAUCCAGGUCUUGGUGGAUCAGCAAUCCCUCAUUUCUCCGGUGAACUUGGAGGAUGCAGAUUUAAGAGUCAAAAGGAAUAAAAAGGGUAAUUGGGUAAGCCUAAUGCACGAGGCUAGGGUCAAAUAUUUCACAACUUUAUUCCGGUGAAUAGAGUGGUUGUUUCUGUAAGAUUGAAUUCAGUUCAGAGGGAGAUGUUAGGGCACAUAAUCAGCCAAGACUGGUUAUCAGCCAAAUACAUAAAUUUUAUAUGCAUACAACGUGGUGUUGUAUUUGGACCCCUUCAUAUUCAUGAGAAAGUCCAAUUUCUCCUUGUCUUAUUCUGUAUGAUGGCAUCCAGUUAAUGCUUUUCCGAAAUACUCAUGGUUUAGCUGGUUCUUCAUAUAUGGAGCUGCCAGUGCCAGCCUUUUGUUGAUUCAUUCUUUAUCAAGCUGUUUGUGAAAUGGUAUUCUGUCUCGUGAUAUAUUGGUUGCUCUGGGUUAUGGUCUAAAUCCCUUUUUUUUUCUAACUCUAUGGUGCUCACUUGUGGUUGUGCACUGCUACGAAUAUCCAAAUGUGGAGGGAGGCCAACCUCUGCGCAUUUAGCUGAACAAAGGUGUAACAGCAUAGUGAUUUUCUCCUUGCUGAAAAGUGAUCAUUCCCGUCUUUCACCUUGAACUGAAUACUUCUCUUAGUUCAAAACUGUAACUAUGCUUAUUCCUUGUAACAACUGAGUUGUUUUACAAUCUGGAUUAAUCUUUCAGGUUCCA